Molecule: long non-coding RNA, 1392 nt
Organism: Spinacia oleracea (spinach)
Lineage: Eukaryota; Viridiplantae; Streptophyta; Magnoliopsida; Caryophyllales; Amaranthaceae
Exons: 3
Source: RefSeq, a predicted model, not a curated record
CAGAAGUUGCUGAUGGAGAUCGGGGAGUUAAGAAGAAAGCUAGAAGUCACCAAGCAUCUUGGAAAUGAUGUUGACGCUUAAGUUAAGAUUUAAAGACAUGAAUCAUUCGGAAGCUAUGAAUCAAACUCUUAUGGUUAAACAAAGGCAGAGCAAUGAUGAACUACAGCCAGCUCGGGAAGGAUUAAUCACAGUAUGUCCUCGCACAUUCUAUAUUACUCUUGGUUCAUAGUGAUUGUCUUCCUUUCAAUAUGGUAUAUUUUUCAUUUAGUUUUCCUUUAGUUCCAACAGUAUGAAAAGUAUUACCCAGAGAUCUGUAAGAAGGUCCAUGCCUAACGCAAAAUACGAUUAUAUUGUAACCUCUAUGACAGUAAAGAGGUUGUUUGUAUUAUAUUCUUGAUCUAAAUCACAACAUCUGCCUGUUUAAAGAGCUUGAUGAUCAACAUUUUUCCAGGAGUCAUCUUCAUCUAUCUCAAGGAAUUAAUAAACCAAUGACUCAAUUCUAAUAAGAACUCCCAUUAUGGAAGUAUCUGACUCCAGGUUUGAAAUUUGUGGCAUCAUCCUGCAAAAGAACAACAAUUAGCAUUUCACAUCUCAAGAGAAAAAAGAUAUUGGUUCCCAUUGAUGGUAGAACGGUUUGGCUGAUGGACAGGGACGGCCGAAGGGUUCUGCUUAUAGUACGUUCUGGAUAUUAUUGAAUCUGGUUGGUGGUAUUCAUAACCACUUGAAUCGUAACAAGUAUCCUCUGUCGGAAUGACUGCUAGGUUGCAUUUUUUCUCGAGGAUGUCAUACCAAAAGACUCAGUUUUGCACAGCACGUUGAGCAUACUCUCUGUAGUAGGCCUUGUGGAACCUUUACAAGUUAUACAUUUUUAUUGCUGCUAUAACUGUUGUGUCUGUGGCGGCGUGGAAGCUUCCAGAAACAAAAGGAAAGAACUGGAGGAAAUUCAAGCAUACUUCAGAUAAAAAUAGUUUAAUGUAUAAAUUUCAUAUCUUAGAUAUAUAAAUUAGUUUUGCAGUAGCAAUAUUAUGGAAGCAUUUGAACAUAACACUCUUAGUCCAAGCAUCAAAUAAUUUUGCAUCACCCUAGGCUUAAUGUAAUAUGGACCUCGAGGUAUUGUAGUUUGUUUUAGAAACAUGAAGGAGUUUGAAUUUUCACGUUCGUAGGAAAUACUCCACACCUUUUUGGCUUGUUAUCGUGACUCCAAAUUUUCAUUGGCACCUACAUAGUAAACGUAUUUGCGAUUUUGUAUUGUCUAUUACAUGGAAAUUAAAAAUUUAUUAUAAAUUUUCUUGCAUAUUUAUUGUAUUUGCCACAAAUUUGUAAAUGUCCGGAUUUUAUGUAAAAUUUUUAGAAACAAAUUUGUAUGUCUAUCGCGCACAAUCCAACAGCUAG